AAAGUGCAACUUUGAUAGUGUGUAACUCUCCACGCUAUCAGAUGUGCUCUUA
RNAcentral lists this microRNA precursor (52 nucleotides) under Ciona intestinalis (vase tunicate). Its description in RNAcentral is "microRNA cin-mir-4030 precursor". The record is from miRBase by way of RNAcentral. Lineage: Eukaryota; Metazoa; Chordata; Ascidiacea; Phlebobranchia; Cionidae.